RNAcentral lists this long non-coding RNA (779 nucleotides) under Homo sapiens (human). RNAcentral's name for it is "HSALNT0290983". Lineage: Eukaryota; Metazoa; Chordata; Mammalia; Primates; Hominidae. The record is from RNAcentral.
GUUACAGCGACGUAGUUGUUUCGUGAUAACUCACUGAAGACUCAAGAUGUGUGCACCUUUUUCUAGAGACCAUCAAGCUUCAGAUGAUCAUGUGACAACUGUUCCAGCCAGUUCCAGGUGAAGACACCACCCCUGGCCUUCAAAGAGCUACCCUGCCUCCACUAGACAGAGCAGGAAACUGAGGCACCAUAAGCACCAGAAUACCGCUGAGACUUCGAACCAGAUGGAGAGGAUUCCUUCAUUCGAUCAAUCACAUUUUCUGAAAGCCGGAUGCCCUUCACCACGUGUGUGCCGCCACCCAAUAGAAGAUUCGAUGGACAUGGACAUGAGCCCCCUGAGGCCCCAGAACUAUCUUUUCGGUUGUGAACUAAAGGCUGACAAAGAUGAUCACUUUAAGGUGGAUAAUGAUGAAAAUGAGCACCAGUUAUCUUUAAGAACGGUCAGUUUAGGGGCUGGUACAAAGGAUGAAUUGCACAUUGUUGAAGCAGAGGCAAUGAAUUACAAAGGCAGUCCAAUUAAAGUAACACUGGCAACUUUGAAAAUGUCUGCACAGCCAACAGUUUCCCUUGGGGGCUUUGAAAUAACACCACCAGUGGUCUUAAGAUUUAAGUGUGGUUCAGGGCCAGUGCAUAUUAGUGGACAGCACUUAGUAGCUGUGGAGGAAGAUGCAGAGUCAGAAGAUGAAGAGGAGGAGGAUGUGAAACUCUUAAGUAUAUCUGGAAAGCGGUCUGCCCCUGGAGGUGGUAGCAAGGUUCCACAGAAAAAAGUAAAACUUGCUG